This 265-nucleotide ribosomal RNA is filed under the name uncultured bacterium. RNAcentral's name for it is "partial 16S ribosomal RNA". It matches the Rfam family "Bacterial small subunit ribosomal RNA", at positions 524 to 788 of the family's 1533-position model. The record is from RNAcentral.
UACAGAGGUCUCAAGCGUUGUUCGGAUUCAUUGGGCGUAAAGGGUGCGUAGGUGGCGGGGCAAGUCAGGUGUGAAAUCUCGGAGCUCAACUCCGAAACUGCACUUGAUACUGCCUUGCUCGAGUACUGGAGGGGAGAUUGGAAUUUACGGUGUAGCAGUGAAAUGCGUAGAUAUCGUAAGGAAGACCAGUGGCGAAGGCGAAUCCCUGGACAGUUACUGACACUGAGGCACGAAGGCCAGGGGAGCAAACGGGAUUAGAUACCCC